AACGAACGCUGGCGGCAUGCCUAACACAUGCAAGUCGAACGAGACCUUCGGGUCUAGUGGCGCACGGGUGCGUAACGCGUGGGAACCUGCCCUUAGGUUCGGAAUAACUCCCCGAAAGGGGUGCUAAUACCGGAUAAUGUCUUCGGACCAAAGAUUUAUCGCCUUUGGAUGGGCCCGCGUUGGAUUAGCUAGUUGGUAGGGUAAAAGCCUACCAAGGCGACGAUCCAUAGCUGGUCUGAGAGGAUGAUCGGCCACACUGGGACUGAGACACGGCCCAGACUGCUAAGGGAGGCAGGAGUGGGGAAUAUUGGACAAUGGGCGAAAGCCUGAUCAAGCAAUGCCGCGGGAGUGAUGAAGGCCGUAGGGUUGUAAAGCUCUUUUACCCGGGAUGAGAAUGACAGUACCGGGAGAAGAAGCUCCGGCUAACUCCGUG
RNAcentral lists this ribosomal RNA (433 nucleotides) under uncultured bacterium. RNAcentral describes it as "partial 16S ribosomal RNA". It matches the Rfam family "Bacterial small subunit ribosomal RNA", at positions 29 to 507 of the family's 1533-position model. The record is from RNAcentral.